GCAGGGGUUCCAGAGCCUGGUCAAAUGGGCAGGGUUUAGGACCCUGUGGCUUAGCGCCUUCGGGGGUUCAAUCCACCUUUUUCUUUUGUAAAAGAAAAAGAGUGGCCGAAAAAGAAAACAAGACUCGGCCGAGCUGGUCUUUAGAACAAAUCCCUCCCCCUGCA
Molecule: transfer RNA, 164 nt
Filed under: Microcaldota archaeon
Lineage: Archaea; Nanobdellati; Microcaldota
Description: tRNA-Leu
Source: RNAcentral